CCCUUAGAUGUUCUGGGCCGCACGCGCGCUACACUGACGAAUGCAACGAGCUUAUAACCUUGGCCGAAAGGUCUGGGUAAUCUCCAAAUUUCGUCGUGAUGGGGAUAGAUUAUUGCAAUUAUUAAUCUUCAACGAGGAAUGCCUAGUAAGCGCAAGUCAUCAGCUUGCGUUGAUUACGUCCCUGCCCUUUGUACACACCGCCCGUCGCUCCUACCGAUUGAAUGGUCCGGUGAAGCGUUCGGACCGUGGCCUUUGGACGGUUCGCCGUCUGUUGGCUGCGGGAAGAUACGCAAACCUUAUCAUUUAGAGGAAGGAGAAGUCGUAACA
RNAcentral lists this ribosomal RNA (327 nucleotides) under uncultured eukaryote. Its description in RNAcentral is "partial 18S ribosomal RNA". It matches the Rfam family "Eukaryotic small subunit ribosomal RNA", at positions 1470 to 1796 of the family's 1831-position model. The record is from RNAcentral.